GAUGAACGCUGGCGGCGUGCCUAAUACAUGCAAGUCGAACGAAACUUCUUUAUCACCGAGUGCUUGCGCUCACCGAUAAAGAGUUGAGUGGCGAACGGGUGAGUAACACGUGGGCAACCUGCCCAAAAGAGGGGGAUAACACUUGGAAACAGGUGCUAAUACCGCAUAACCAUAGUUACCGCAUGGUAACUAUGUAAAAGGUGGCUAUACUACCGCUUUUGGAUGGGCCCGCGGCGCAUUAGCUAGUUGGUAGGGUAAAGGCUUACCAAGGCAAUGAUGCGUAGCCGAAUUGAGAGGUUGAUCGGCCACAUUGGGACUGAGACACGGCCCAAACUCCUACGGGAGGCAGCAGUAGGGAAUCUUCCACAAUGGGCGAAAGCCUGAUGGAGCAACGCCGCGUGGGUGAAGAAGGUCUUCGGAUCGUAAAACCCUGUUGUUAGAGAAGAAAGUGCGUGAGAGUAACUGUUCACGUUUCGACGGUAUCUAACCAGAAAGCCACGGCUAACUACGUG
This 512-nucleotide ribosomal RNA is filed under the name uncultured bacterium. RNAcentral describes it as "partial 16S ribosomal RNA". It matches the Rfam family "Bacterial small subunit ribosomal RNA", at positions 28 to 507 of the family's 1533-position model. The record is from RNAcentral.